CCCUGUAGCCCAAUACUGGUUGCUCACUGAAGCUAAUUGGUCAGUACCUGGAUGGGAGACCUCCUGGGAAAACUAGGUUGCUGCUGGAA
Molecule: ribosomal RNA, 89 nt
Filed under: Sinocyclocheilus grahami
Lineage: Eukaryota; Metazoa; Chordata; Actinopteri; Cypriniformes; Cyprinidae
Source: RNAcentral